This 255-nucleotide ribosomal RNA is filed under the name uncultured bacterium. RNAcentral's name for it is "partial 16S ribosomal RNA". It matches the Rfam family "Bacterial small subunit ribosomal RNA", at positions 524 to 776 of the family's 1533-position model. The record is from RNAcentral.
UACGUAGGGCGCAAGCGUUAUCCGGAAUUAUUGGGCGUAAAGAGCUCGUAGGCGGUUUGUCGCGUCUGCUGUGAAAACUGGAGGCUCAACCUCCAGCCUGCAGUGGAUACGGGCAGACUAGAGGUAGGUAGGGGAGAAUGGAAUUCCCGGUGUAGCGGUGAAAUGCGCAGAUAUCAGGAGGAACACCGGUGGCGAAGGCGGGUCUCGUGGGCCGAUGACUGACGCUGAGGCACGAAAGCGUGGGGAGCAAACAGG